GAUUACGGCCAUACCACCCUGACAACGCCUGAUCUCGGAAGCUAAGCAGAGUUGGGCUGGGUCAGUACUUGGAUGGGUGACCGCCUGGGAAUACCCGGUGCUGUAAGCA
RNAcentral lists this ribosomal RNA (109 nucleotides) under Cottoperca gobio. Lineage: Eukaryota; Metazoa; Chordata; Actinopteri; Perciformes; Bovichtidae. The record is from RNAcentral.